RNAcentral lists this ribosomal RNA (466 nucleotides) under uncultured bacterium. Its description in RNAcentral is "partial 16S ribosomal RNA". It matches the Rfam family "Bacterial small subunit ribosomal RNA", at positions 28 to 507 of the family's 1533-position model. The record is from RNAcentral.
GACGAACGCUGGCGGCGUGCUUAACACAUGCAAGUCGAACGGAAAGGCCAAGCUUGCUGGGUACUCGAGUGGCCAACGGGUGAGUAACACGUGGGUUAUCUGCCCUCCACUUUGGGAUAAGCCUGGGCAACUGGGUCUAAUACCGGCUAUGUUCAACUGUCGACUGGUGGUUGGUGGAAAGCUUUUGCGGUUGAGGAUGGGUCCGCGGCCUAUCCGCUUGUUGGUGGGGUAUUGGCCUACGAAGGCGACGACGGGUCGCCGACCUGUGAGGGUGAUCGGCCACACUGGGACUGAGACACGGCGCAGACUCCUACGGGCGGCAGCAGUGGGGAAUAUUGCACAAUGGGCGCAAGCCUGAUGCAGCGACGCCGCGUGAGGGAUGACGGCCUUCGGGUUGUAAACCUCUGUCACCAGGGACGAAGCGUGAGUGACGGUACCUGGAGAAGAAGCACCGGCCAACUACGUG